AAUCCGAUAAAGGGGGCU
This 18-nucleotide transfer RNA is filed under the name Rohrbachia minima. RNAcentral's name for it is "partial tRNA-Thr". Lineage: Eukaryota; Viridiplantae; Streptophyta; Magnoliopsida; Poales; Typhaceae. The record is from RNAcentral.